Small nucleolar RNA from Pan troglodytes (chimpanzee), 83 nucleotides. It matches the Rfam family "Small nucleolar RNA U13". The record is from Rfam. Lineage: Eukaryota; Metazoa; Chordata; Mammalia; Primates; Hominidae.
AUCCUUUUCUCGUUAAUAAAUGUGAUGAUUGGGUUUUCACACUCAUGUGAGAUGUGCUCAAACCUUGUUACGAUGUCGUGAUA